CAAACCAACAAGCUUGCUUGUUGGGGUUGUAGGACACUCUAUACGGAGUUACAAAGGACGACAUUAGACGAAUCAUCUGGAAAGAUGAAUCAAAGAAGGUAAUAAUCCUGUAGUCGAAAAUGUUGUCUCUCUUGAGUGGAUCCUGAGUACGACGGAGCACGUGAAAUUCCGUCGGAAUCUGGGAGGACCAUCUCCUAAGGCUAAAUACUCUCUAGUGACCGAUAGUGAACCAGUACCGUGAGGGAAAGGUGAAAAGCACCCCGGAAGGGGAGUGAAAUAGAACCUGAAACCGUGUGCUUACAAGUAGUCAGAGCCCGUUAAUGGGUGAUGGCGUGCCUUUUGUAGAAUGAACCGGCGAGUUACGAUUUGAUGCAAGGUUAAGCAGUAAAUGUGGAGCCGUAGCGAAAGCGAGUCUGAAUAGGGCGUUUAGUAUUUGGUCGUAGACCCGAAACCAGGUGAUCUACCCUUGGUCAGGUUGAAGUUCAGGUAACACUGAAUGGAGGACCGAACCGACUUACGUUGAAAAGUGAGCGGAUGAACUGAGGGUAGCGGAGAAAUUCCAAUCGAACCUGGAGAUAGCUGGUUCUCUCCGAAAUAGCUUUAGGGCUAGCCUCAAGUGAUGAUUAUUGGAGGUAGAGCACUGUUUGGACGAGGGGCCCCUCUCGGGUUACCGAAUUCAGACAAACUCCGAAUGCCAAUUAAUUUAACUUGGGAGUCAGAACAUGGGUGAUAAGGUCCGUGUUCGAAAGGGAAACAGCCCAGACCACCAGCUAAGGUCCCAAAAUAUAUGUUAAGUGGAAAAGGAUGUGGCGUUGCCCAGACAACUAGGAUGUUGGCUUAGAAGCAGCCAUCAUUUAAAGAGUGCGUAAUAGCUCACUAGUCGAGUGACACUGCGCCGAAAAUGUACCGGGGCUAAACAUAUUACCGAAGCUGUGGAUUGUCCUUUGGACAAUGGUAGGAGAGCGUUCUAAGGGCGUUGAAGCAUGAUCGUAAGGACAUGUGGAGCGCUUAGAAGUGAGAAUGCCGGUGUGAGUAGCGAAAGACGGGUGAGAAUCCCGUCCACCGAUUGACUAAGGUUUCCAGAGGAAGGCUCGUCCGCUCUGGGUUAGUCGGGUCCUAAGCUGAGGCCGACAGGCGUAGGCGAUGGAUAACAGGUUGAUAUUCCUGUACCACCUAUA
This 1178-nucleotide ribosomal RNA is filed under the name Staphylococcus aureus. RNAcentral's name for it is "partial 23S ribosomal RNA". It matches the Rfam family "Bacterial large subunit ribosomal RNA", at positions 270 to 1452 of the family's 2925-position model. Lineage: Bacteria; Bacillati; Bacillota; Bacilli; Caryophanales; Staphylococcaceae. The record is from RNAcentral.